GCCCGCCUAGCUCAAUCGGAUAGAGCGUCAGACUCUUAUAAUGGCAUAAACAUCUGAAGGCUGCGAGUUCGACCCUCGCGGUGGGCU
Molecule: non-coding RNA, 87 nt
Organism: Marasmius fiardii PR-910
Lineage: Eukaryota; Fungi; Basidiomycota; Agaricomycetes; Agaricales; Marasmiaceae
Source: the annotation of a GenBank genome assembly